GAUGAACGCUGGCGGCGUGCCUAAUACAUGCAAGUCGAGCGGCAGCGCGGUCUUCGGACUGGCGGCGAGCGGCGGACGGCUGAGUAACGCGUAGGAACGUACCCCAAAGUGAGGGAUAAGCACCAGAAAUGGUGUCUAAUACCGCAUGUGGUCUUCGGAUUAAACCUUCGGGGCUUUGGGAACGGCCUGCGUAAGAUUAGCUUGUUGGUGAGGUAAAAGCUCACCAAGGCGACGAUCUUUAGCUGGUCUGAGAGGAUGAUCAGCCAGACUGGGACUG
RNAcentral lists this ribosomal RNA (277 nucleotides) under uncultured bacterium. RNAcentral describes it as "partial 16S ribosomal RNA". It matches the Rfam family "Bacterial small subunit ribosomal RNA", at positions 28 to 321 of the family's 1533-position model. The record is from RNAcentral.